GUUUGCUUCGGCAGCACAUACAUCCACAUUGGAACAAUACAGUGAAGAUGAGCGUGGCGCCCACACAAGAAUGACACACAAAUCCAUGAAGCGUUCCGUAUUUUC
Artibeus jamaicensis (Jamaican fruit-eating bat) is the source of this 105-nucleotide small nuclear RNA. The record is from RefSeq and is a predicted model, not a curated record. NCBI's taxonomy places the organism in Eukaryota, Metazoa, Chordata, Mammalia, Chiroptera, Phyllostomidae.